This 464-nucleotide ribosomal RNA is filed under the name uncultured bacterium. RNAcentral describes it as "partial 16S ribosomal RNA". It matches the Rfam family "Bacterial small subunit ribosomal RNA", at positions 28 to 507 of the family's 1533-position model. The record is from RNAcentral.
GACGAACGCUGGCGGCGUGCCUAACACAUGCAAGUCGAGCGAAUGAAGUUCCUUCGGGAACGGAUUUAGCGGCGGACGGGUGAGUAACACGUGGGCAACUUGCCUCCUAGAGGGGAAUAGCCUUCCGAAAGGGAGAUUAAUACCGCAUAAGAUAUUAGUACCGCAUGGUACAGCAAUUAAAGGAGCAAUCUUCUAUGAGAGGGGCCCGCGGCGCAUUAGCUAGUUGGUGAGGUAACGGCUCACCAAGGCGACGAGGCGUAGCCGACCAGUGAGGGUGAUCGCACACAUUGAGACGGGGCAGCAGUCGAGACUCCUGCGGGAGGCAGGAAUGGGGAAUAUUGCAAAAUGGGGGAAACCAUGAUGGCGCAAGGCCGCGUGAGUGAUGACGGCGGUCAGGUUGAAAAGCUCGGUCUUCAGGGACGGUAAUGACGGUACCUAAGGAGGAAGCCACGGCUAACUACGUG